Mus musculus (house mouse) is the source of this 936-nucleotide long non-coding RNA. RefSeq annotates it as predicted gene, 34754. Lineage: Eukaryota; Metazoa; Chordata; Mammalia; Rodentia; Muridae. The transcript is spliced from 3 exons. The record is from RefSeq and is a predicted model, not a curated record.
AAGCGAGGUAUUUUGAGACACAGGCAAUCAGCGUGACAUGAAGAAACAAUUAUCAGAGCAUUCCUUUGUAACCAAGUCACAGGGAAACAAGAUGGAUGGGCACAUCUCCCUCCCAGAUCACUCUCAGGCAGAUAAAGCAGUUGCUGAGCCAAGCCCUCAGUUCCAGUGAACUCUCAGGAAAGAGAGGGACCGAGGGCUGCUGCGAGCAUUAAGUGAGGAGUUUGGAAAGCCUGGAACAUAUGAACGCUUAAACACCCCUUCAGUACGCCAGCAUUAGGAGGUGAGGGCAGGCCUGGCUGCUGUGCUGUGUGCUGUCCACACGUCCAUUUGCCUCAUCCUAAAGGGAUAAUACAGAUAAAGUGAUGAAAUGUGGGCAACCUCAGACCUACCACACAGCAAGCACACACUUAACUGUGGCGACUGCUGCCACGUGUGUCUAAUGGAUCUCGGAUUGCCAAGGUCUACCAUGAAAGACCCAGGAUUGAGGCCUCACACCCCUGACAUUCUGAUUCUUGUUUACACUAGAAAAUGCAUGUGUGUAAAAUAGAAUAAAGCGGCUCUGACACACCCUUCCAAGCAACCCCGCCUGAGACUCAUUCACUCACUCACUCACUCAUUCACUCACUCACUCAUCCCAGACUUGUUUAUGAAGCACCUAUGACAAAUACUGUUUGUGUUAGCAACCAGGCAUGUGUUAGCAACCAGGCAUCUCCACCAUCUGCCCCCAGGGAUCCAGGGACAGCAGACGUCAUCACUAGCUGCCAAGAUGUGACACAUUCCCACUGUCACUAUGAGAUGCAUAACCCCUGUGCUUGUGCUACAUCCCCUUAUAAAAGGCCAGUCCCUCCUCUCCCUGAUCCUUCUACCCUCCGCCCUUGCCCAGAGGCAGCCUCUGUAGACUCCCUCCCCAUUAAACCUCCCAUGUGAGAUCUGUCA